RNAcentral lists this ribosomal RNA (497 nucleotides) under uncultured bacterium. RNAcentral's name for it is "partial 16S ribosomal RNA". It matches the Rfam family "Bacterial small subunit ribosomal RNA", at positions 28 to 523 of the family's 1533-position model. The record is from RNAcentral.
GAUGAACGCUAGCGGCAGGCCUAAUACAUGCGAGUCGAACGGGAUUGAGGAGCUUGCUCCUCAUGAGAGUGGCGCACGGGUGCGUAACACGUAUGUAACCUACCUUAAUCAGGGGGAUAGCCUCUCGAAAGAGAGAUUAACACCGCAUAAAAUCACACUAUGGCAUCAUAGAAUGAUCAAAUAUUUAUAGGGUUAAGAUGGGCAUGCGGAACAUUAGCUAGUUGGUAAGGUAACGGCUUACCAAGGCUACGAUGUUUAGGGGAUCUGAGAGGAUGGCCCCCCAAACUGGUACUGGGACACGGACCAGACUCCUACGGGAGGCAGCAGUAAGGAAUAUUGGUCAAUGGACGGAAGUCUGAACCAGCCAUGCCGCGUGCAGGAAGACGGCCCUACGGGUUGUAAACUGCUUUUGUACCGGGAUAAACCUCUUACGUGUAAGGAGCUGAAUGUACGGUAAGAAUAAGGAUCGGCUAACUCCGUGCCAGCAGCCGCCGUAA